RNAcentral lists this ribosomal RNA (705 nucleotides) under uncultured organism. RNAcentral describes it as "SSU rRNA". It matches the Rfam family "Bacterial small subunit ribosomal RNA", at positions 38 to 742 of the family's 1533-position model. The record is from RNAcentral.
GGCGGCGUGCCUAACACAUGCAAGUCGAGCGUAGCGAUUUGACGGAAGUUUUCGGAUGGAAGACAAAUUGACUGAGCGGCGGACGGGUGAGUAACGCGUGGGUAACCUGCCUCAUACAGGGGGAUAACAGUUAGAAAUGACUGCUAAUACCGCAUAAGCGCACAGCAUCGCAUGGUGCAGUGUGAAAAACUCCGGUGGUAUGAGAUGGACCCGCGUCUGAUUAGCUAGUUGGUGGGGUAACGGCUCACCAAGGCGACGAUCAGUAGCCGACCUGAGAGGGUGAUCGGCCACAUUGGGACUGAGACACGGCCCAAACUCCUACGGGAGGCAGCAGUGGGGAAUAUUGCACAAUGGGGGAAACCCUGAUGCAGCAACGCCGCGUGAGUGAAGAAGUAUUUCGGUAUGUAAAGCUCUAUCAACAGGGAAGAAAAUGACGGUACCUGACUAAGAAGCCCCGGCUAACUACGUGCCAGCAGCCGCGGUAAUACGUACGGGGCAAGCGUUAUCCGGAUUUACUGGGUGUAAAGGGAGCGUACACGGCGCUGCAAGUCUGAAGUGAAAGCCCGGGGCUCAACCCCGGGACUGCUUUGGAAACUGUAAUGCUAGAGUGCUGGAGAGGUAAGUGGAAUUCCUAGUGUAGCGGUGAAAUUGCGUAGAUAUUUGGAAGAACACCCGUGGCGAAGGCGGCUUUCUGGACUGAAACUG